Molecule: ribosomal RNA, 585 nt
Filed under: uncultured bacterium
Lineage: Bacteria
Description: bacterial SSU rRNA
Rfam family: Bacterial small subunit ribosomal RNA
Source: RNAcentral
ACGGGUGCGUAACACGUGGGCAAUCUGCCCUCUGAUGGGGAAUAACCCGCCGAAAGGCGGGCUAAUACCGCAUAAAAUUCCUUGGACUCAUGUUCGAGGAUUCAAAGGCGUAAGUCGUCGGAGGAGGAGCCCGCGCACGAUUAGCUAGUUGGUAGGGUAAUGGCCUACCAAGGCUUUGAUCGUUAGCUGGUCUGAGAGGAUGGCCAGCCACACUGGAACUGAGACACGGUCCAGACUCCUACGGGAGGCAGCAGUGGGGAAUCUUGCACAAUGGGCGAAAGCCUGAUGCAGCGACGCCGCGUGGGGGAUGAAGCAUUUCGGUGUGUAAACCCCUUUCGAUCCGGACGAAUACCUCGCAAGAGGGGUGACGGUACGGAUAUAAGAAGCCCCGGCUAACUACGUGCCAGCAGCCGCGGUAAGACGUAGGGGGCCAGCGUUGUUCGGAAUUACUGGGUGUAAAGGGUUCGUAGGCGGUGUGGCAAGUUGGGAGUGAAAUCUCUGGGCUCAACCCAGAGGCUGCUUCCAAAACUGCUGUGCUUGAGUGUGAGAGAGGCUCGUGGAAUUGCAGGUGUAGCGGUGAAAUGC